CGGAGGGAUCAUUACUGAGUUUACGCUCUACAACCCUUUGUGAACAUACCUAUAACUGUUGCUUCGGCGGGUAGGGUCUCCGCGACACUCCCGGCCUCCCGCCCCCGGGCGGGUCGGCGCCCGCCGGAGGAUAACCAAACUCUGAUGUAACGACGUUUCUUCUGAGUGGUACAAGCAAAUAAUCAAAACUUUUAACAACGGAUCUCUUGGUUCUGGCAUCGAUGAAGAACGCAGCGAAAUGCGAUAAGUAAUGUGAAUUGCAGAAUUCAGUGAAUCAUCGAAUCUUUGAACGCACAUUGCGCCCGCCAGCAUUCUGGCGGGCAUGCCUGUUCGAGCGUCAUUUCAACCCUCAAGCUCUGCUUGGUGUUGGGGCCCUACAGCUGAUGUAGGCCCUCAAAGGUAGUGGCGGACCCUCCCGGAGCCUCCUUUGCGUAGUAACUUUACGUCUCGCACUGGGAUCCGGAGGGACUCUUGCCGUAAAACCCCCAAUUCUCCAAAGGUUGACCUC
This 508-nucleotide ribosomal RNA is filed under the name Colletotrichum gloeosporioides. Its description in RNAcentral is "eukaryotic LSU rRNA". The stretch from base 187 to 340 matches the Rfam family "5.8S ribosomal RNA". The record is from RNAcentral. Lineage: Eukaryota; Fungi; Ascomycota; Sordariomycetes; Glomerellales; Glomerellaceae.